ACUGUCACCUGACUCCAUUUGGUAUGCUUUUACUUUAAAGAGUGGCCCAGCUAACUACUGACAACACAAAGACAGGCUUACAUGAAUUUGUGACCCACAGUAGUGCAGGGCUUAGGGCUCCAAGUGCCAGGGGACAGUGUCAGGUGGGGAGUCACUCUAGGGCAGUAUAACUGUAAAACCAAAAUGUAGUCCAGGGAAGAUGGAAAUUUCCUGUAGAGCAGAAGGGCAAAAGCUCACCUGAUCGUGAUUUUCAGACUUUCUGUGAAAGAGAGGCCUUACGAUACUUCUGUCUAUUUGUUCAGUAAGCGGGAGGUGUCAUAAAAGUUACCACAGGGAUGAAAAGGAGGCCAAGUGUUUAUAGUGACACAAAACUGAAAUUUUAAAGUUUCCAAUUGCCUUUUCAGCUUUGUGUCUUCUCUUUUCAGUGUGAGGCCGAAUUCCCUGAGCUCUGGAUUGUUCCCUCAUUAACAAGGAAUGUGACCUGGCUUUUGGCUGUGAUAAGAAAGGUU
RNAcentral lists this non-coding RNA (509 nucleotides) under Pterocles gutturalis (yellow-throated sandgrouse). Its description in RNAcentral is "Eukaryotic large subunit ribosomal RNA". It matches the Rfam family "Eukaryotic large subunit ribosomal RNA", at positions 2535 to 2984 of the family's 3401-position model. Lineage: Eukaryota; Metazoa; Chordata; Aves; Pterocliformes; Pteroclidae. The record is from Rfam by way of RNAcentral.